RNAcentral lists this non-coding RNA (21 nucleotides) under Arabidopsis thaliana (thale cress). Lineage: Eukaryota; Viridiplantae; Streptophyta; Magnoliopsida; Brassicales; Brassicaceae. The record is from RNAcentral.
UUGCCUUUGGAGAAUGGAUAA